UGAGAAAGUUGAACAAUAAGACGUAGUUGCACAUCAUCUCUCUGACCAUCGAAAGGAAAAGCAAAAUGUCCCUUUCUUUAGCAGAAAGACCAAAAUGCACCUAGGCGAUGCCCACCCAUGUGUUUUUACAAUGUUCAACUACGUCUUAUUGUUCAACUUUCUCAAAUGCUACGAAUGCAAAGCUCCCUCAGUCCCGAAACUCAUCCAUGAAACUUUUGUGGAAC
This 224-nucleotide unclassified non-coding RNA is filed under the name Hevea brasiliensis (rubber tree). Lineage: Eukaryota; Viridiplantae; Streptophyta; Magnoliopsida; Malpighiales; Euphorbiaceae. The record is from RNAcentral.